This 430-nucleotide unclassified non-coding RNA is filed under the name soil metagenome. RNAcentral's name for it is "partial contains 5.8S ribosomal RNA, internal transcribed spacer 2, and large subunit ribosomal RNA". The stretch from base 1 to 120 matches the Rfam family "5.8S ribosomal RNA", at positions 35 to 154 of the family's 154-position model. The record is from RNAcentral.
GAUGAAGAACGCAGCGAAAUGCGAUACGUAAUGUGAAUUGCAGAAUUCAGUGAAUCAUCGAAUCUUUGAACGCAUAUUGCGCUCUCUGGUAUUCCGGAGAGCAUGCUUGUUUGAGUAUCAGUAAACACCUCAACUCCCUUUUCUUUUUUGAAAUUGGAGCUGGACUUGAGUGAUCCCAACGCUUUCUUCCAAGAAAGUGGCGGGUUGCUUGAAAUGCAGGUGCAGCUGAACUUUUCUCUGAGCUAUAAGCAUAUCUAUUUAGUCUGCCUAAAAAACAGAUUAUUACCUUUGCUGCAGCUAACAUAAAUGAGACUAGUUCUUGUGCUGACUGAUGCAGGAUUCACAGAGACAGCUUCGGCUGACUUUGUAAACUCGAUCUCAAAUCAAGUAAGACUACCCGCUGAACUUAAGCAUAUCAAUAAGCGGAGGA